UAAUGAAGAAAGUAAACAGAACUGGUUAAUGUAGAUUCAAGUUAUCUCAAGAACAAUUAACAUAUGAUAUUAAGUUAGUCCCUCUCUUGUAUUUUCAGAGGCUAUCACGAUCAAAGACGUCAUAUAAUGUGAGACUAUCUUACUACUUAGCAAAUGAAGCGACUUCAUCAACGAGGAAUAUGUCGCUCGGGUUAUAUAUGCACAUAUGUAUAUAAAUCCGGCCCUCCGGGAGACGAGGAGUUGGGUGAGCUUCAUUUAUGUUUAUUUCCGCGACGUACUCGUACAAAGACAAUAACAACACACACAGACAAUGUGACCAGAUUCCCCAGGAACCGUAGACACUUGACGCGGGAUACCUGACAUGAGACAGUACAGGGUGACAGGAUCACUUUGUCGGCCAGAGAUAAGAUAGCUGAUAGACCGAUAAAUAUAUGCUUUAUAGUAUUCUCGAGUAUCAGUAUCCAUAAAGCUCUCAGCGAUAACCCGAGGAUCUCUGUACUGGAUACCGAUAAAGAGGACAGACUAAAUCGUAGACGGAAGACGAGCGCCCCGAAUUUAUGUGGGACAAUGGAAUAACACGACAUGGGUGAAGAUAUCACACACACACAUACAGGCUGUGCUGAGAUUGUUAUGAGGAUCAUUAUUACAGCCCCUGCCUGGUGAUCUGGAGGGAGGUACCAAAGAAACUUAAUUAUAACAAAUUAAUAGAUUUACAUGAGAUGUAAAACAAAACCCCUGUUGAGGUAACAAUAUACAUUACAUACAAAUCGCUCACUCAAUUAUAGGAUUAAAAAUUAUAUAAUCGAAGUACUUCAGAGAGUUCGUUAAGAAUGUAUGCCUGUGUGUGUGUGUGUGUCUGUAUGUGUGCGUGUGUGUGUGUGUGUAGUCAGUUGACAGGUGACGCGGAACGUUGGACGUAAUGUCUUCCGGUGCGGACGCGCGCCGAAUUAAUGACAGGACAGCUUCCUCCUCAUCCCCGGCGGGUUAACGUUCACCAAAAACAACAUUGUCACUCUGCUCGACACACUCGCUAAUACGAGACUCGACCAACAUUACAAUUAAUUAAUUAUAAGACUUUAGUUACCGCCAGUAACAAUAACAAGACCGAGACAAGAGUCAUGACAGAAUAGUAAGAGAUAAUAAAGUGAUAAUUGAGAUGACAUUACAUGAAGAGUUCCCACGGACCGAGGCCACGGUCGACACACGCAGCACACGAACGUAAGGAGGCUGGGGAGGUUGUAAUGAGGCUCGUCACAACACACGCAGUAUAUUAAGAUUUACAAUAUAAUAUUAGUAUGAAAUGACAGUCAGGAAUCGUUAUUAUUUAUAUGUAAGAAAAACUAGGUUUUUUAUCAUUUUACAGUACGAACAUUUUACAUCACUACAUAAUCAUUAUCAUAUAUUUUAAUUUAUUUUUAAUUUAUUUAUAUAUGAGACAGUUGUCAGUCAACAUCGCUAAUGAUAAACAAUUACAAAAAUUAAUCGUCAGAUAAGAAUAUGACAAAAUUAAGUCGAACGAAAGAUAAACGGGAGCGAGAGAUCGAACAACAACGGGCGCGUCAUACACAGAGAAAGACACAGAAGCUGGACGAGGUAGGCGCACCGUCCCCGUCUCCGUCGAUUUUAUAAGAUGGAACCGUCAGCCGGGGAGGAGUCACUGCGGCACAGAGUAUACAGCCACGAUAAGAGACGUGUCACUUAUGAGAUAUGAGAGACGUAAACAUUCUACUUUAGUGAUCUUUCCACAAUCUACGUUAAUAUUAUCAUGGGCCAUGGCGAAAAUGUAUGUAUGAUAUACAGACUCUCCGUAUGUAGUGUGACCAUGAAAAGGUUUUAGUGAGGGUACAGUGAUGGUCCUGUGGAACGUCCGACGUCGAACUGACGUGAACUGACAAAACCGCGGAGCAUUAAUAUACAACGAGAGAGGAGAUUAAAUGGAACCGUUGAAAUAGAAAAGACUUUGAAUAUUACAUAAAAACUGAUAACAUUAUGUAACGUGAUGUAAAUAAUGUGACAUUAAUAAUUAAUAUAC
Molecule: long non-coding RNA, 2032 nt
Organism: Danaus plexippus (monarch butterfly)
Lineage: Eukaryota; Metazoa; Arthropoda; Insecta; Lepidoptera; Nymphalidae
Exons: 5
Source: RefSeq, a predicted model, not a curated record